RNAcentral lists this non-coding RNA (959 nucleotides) under Troglonectes sp. c FFL-2023. RNAcentral's name for it is "12S ribosomal RNA". It matches the Rfam family "Bacterial small subunit ribosomal RNA". Lineage: Eukaryota; Metazoa; Chordata; Actinopteri; Cypriniformes; Nemacheilidae. The record is from RNAcentral.
CAAAGGCUUGGUCCUGACUUUACUAUCAGCUUUAGCACAAUUUACACAUGCAAGUAUCCGCAGCCCUGUGAGGAUGCCCUUAAUCCCCCGCCCGAGGACGAGGAGCAGGCAUCAGGCACUAACAUUUUUAGCCCAAGACGCCUUGCCACGCCACACCCCCAAGGGAAUUCAGCAGUGAUAGACAUUAAGCCGUAAGUGAAAACUUGACUUAGUUAGUGCUAAGAGGGCCGGUAAAACUCGUGCCAGCCACCGCGGUUAUACGAGAGGCCCGAGUCGAUAGGCACGGCGUAAAGGGUGGUUAAGGAGAGCAGAAACUUUAAAGCCAAAGAGCCUCUUGGCCGUCAUACGCUCCUGAAUGUUCGAAGCCCAAUAAACGAAAGUAGCUUUAAUACAACCCACCUGACCCCACGAAAGCUAAGAAACAAACUGGGAUUAGAUACCCCACUAUGCUUAGCCGUAAACCUAGACGUUAUUACACAACAAACGUCCGCCAGGGUACUACGAGCGUUAGCUUAAAACCCAAAGGACUUGGCGGUGCCUUAGACCCCCCUAGAGGAGCCUGUUCUAAAACCGAUAACCCCCGUUAAACCUCACCACUUCUAGCCCCCCCGCCGCCUAUAUACCGCCGUCGUCAGCUUACCCUGUGAAGGACUAACAGUAAGCUAAAUGAAUAUAUUCCAAAACGUCAGGUCGAGGUGUAGCGCACGAAGUGGGAAGAAAUGGGCUACAUUUUCUAUUAUAGAAUACUAACGAACAGUACCCUGAAAAAUUACUCGAAGGAGGAUUUAGUAGUAAAAAGGAAAUAGAGUGUCCUUCUGAACCCGGCUCUGAGGCGCGUACACACCGCCCGUCACUCUCCCCUGUCACACAGCAACAAAUGUUCCUAACACCAAAGCACCGACAAGGGGAGGCAAGUCGUAACAUGGUAAGUGUACCGGAAGGUGCACUUGGAUCAAACC